UUCCAUUACUUACACCGUUUCUUUUAUGAGAAACUAGACUCAAUAAGAUUUAAUUCCAUAUUUUAUUCAUACUCUAAUUCGAUUUUCAUAAUUUAUGGUGAUUUUUCAAAGUGAGCCCACUGUUACUGUCCAAAACCAUUUUAGUGCAAGAUGUUUAUUACCAUGUUUAUAACACCCUUAUUUUCUUUCUCUGCACUAUUUCUCAUCACUUUCUCUUAUUUUCUCUUCACUAACAUAUCAAGAACAUAGGACCAUAUAUACAAAAACUUUACAUUAACAUCAUUUCCAUGCUUUUUCAAUAAUAUCAAACUUAAAAAUAUAUUAAAAUCUUGAUGUACUUACCUUGUCAUAUUGAUUUCAAUCUUUAACUUGAUUUUCUCUCUCCUCCAGCUUCUAUUUCUUGAAUCUAACUUGAUAUUCUAGCUCCCCAUAGUCUCCUUGUUAUCUUUCUCUCUUGAUGGAUAUGAAAAUUCUUUUGAUUUCUA
This 485-nucleotide long non-coding RNA is filed under the name Gossypium raimondii (Peruvian cotton). RNAcentral describes it as "long non-coding RNA (GRAI_LNC003115)". The record is from RNAcentral. Lineage: Eukaryota; Viridiplantae; Streptophyta; Magnoliopsida; Malvales; Malvaceae.